UUUUCGAGCAAUAAAGGAGAGUGACUUCCCCUACAGUUCGACAAAAGUAAGCGAAGUCGUUGUUCACACACAUGUGGAUGCGUUUCGUACAGUGCAUAAUCCUCUUAUCCGUUACAACCAUCACCCAUUUCGCGCAAAAAUCUGAAAGGCUUGUUGUGAUGACAAGGUUAAAGCCUGGACGGAGUUUGCACUGGUAACUGUAACACACACCAUUCAGACUAAACUUGACGAGUUGUUGCUGAGUGAUAACUGGCAUGAACCACUGACCAAGCAUCUUCCCUUUCACCACUGAAUUAGAUGCUGGAAAUGAAAAAGUGCAAGUUUAUCGUAUUCAGUGGUAGAGGUCAUACAAAACAAAUUUUUAUGGUUGUCACUUGCUUCAUUUUGGAUUUGGUUGCGCAGUGCCCACCUCCCUGUGAGUGUAAUCUAGGCAUUGCUGACUGUUCAGCCAGAAGACUUACUUCACUCCCACCACUGCCAACAAGAAGCAUUCUUGUUGUAAAUGCCAGUUUUAAUUACUUGUCAUCAUUUUCUUGCAGCAAAGAUCAAAUGUCAGGACUGAAAGUGCUUGAUCUUAGUCACAACCAGAUCUCUGCGAUUCCAGCAAGCACAUUUUCUUUUGUGUCAUGUUUACAUCUAGACGUUUUAAACCUUACUGGAAAUAACUUGAGAAGUUUGGCAUUUGAACUACCAUCAUCCCUAAAGGUUUUGAAACUUAGCCACAAUCAGUUUCAGAAGUUUUCAUUGUCUACUGUAAGAAAUCUAACAGAGCUUGAGACAUUACAUCUUUCCUACAAUAACAUCACUAUGAUGAUCACUAGACUGGAAAAUCACAAAUUUUCAAAUGGUUGCCCAUUUGAACCAUUCCAGAAGCUAAUUGAAGUUUCUCUUCAAGGAAACAAACUAACAAUGCUUGAUGCUCAUGUUUUUCAAUGUUUUCAGAAAGUAGUCUACAUGUCUUUGGCAGAUAAUAGAAUUGAUUCUAUUCCAGCACAAUUGUUCAGCUCAUUCCAGCAGUUAAGAUUUCUUGAUUUAUCAAGAAACAGUUUGACAUUUAUUCCUGCUGGAACAUUCAGUAAAAUGUCAAGCAUGAAGUAUUUAUCUCUUGCCAACAAUCAUCUAGAAACAGUGCCAGUUAAUCUGCCCAUGAUGGAAUGGCUUGAUCUGUCAAACAAUAGUAUCAAUGCAGUGGCAGAGGAGCAGAAGACUGACUUGUAUCCACAGAAUAUACAUUGAGGUCACUAUAUACAGAUAAAGGACAAAUUUACUGACACCACAAAUGUACAUGGAUGCAGUGCAAGUCAGAGAGCUAAUAUGGAGGUAUUUUUGAUUGGAAGGAAUCCUCUGCAUUGUGACUGUGGACUCUUGUGGUUGAAAGAACUGUUUGAUUCGAGGAAGUAUUUGCUAAAGUACAUCCAUGUGGAUAAGGAGGAGUUUGUGCCUACCUGUUCCCA
RNAcentral lists this unclassified non-coding RNA (1454 nucleotides) under Pomacea canaliculata. RNAcentral describes it as "slit homolog 3 protein-like, transcript variant X5". The record is from RNAcentral. Lineage: Eukaryota; Metazoa; Mollusca; Gastropoda; Architaenioglossa; Ampullariidae.